This 625-nucleotide ribosomal RNA is filed under the name Bartheletia paradoxa. RNAcentral's name for it is "partial 28S ribosomal RNA". Lineage: Eukaryota; Fungi; Basidiomycota; Bartheletiomycetes; Bartheletiales; Bartheletiaceae. The record is from RNAcentral.
GUGGGUAUCCGAAGAUCCGCCAAAAGGCACGCUGCGUUCCUCAAUCCCAACCGACGUAUACGAUGAAAGGCUAUAACACUCCCGAAAGAGCCACGUUCCUGACACCCUUUUCCGUCGAUCAAAAUUGAUGUUGGCCCGUUCGAAGAGAAGUGCACUAAACAAAAGUAAAGCUGAGUCUCUCCGAACAUGACUGACUUCAAUCGUUUCCCUUUUAACAAUUUCACGUACUGUUUAACUCUCUUUCCAAAGUGCUUUUCAUCUUUCCCUCACGGUACUUGUUCGCUAUCGGUCUCCCACCAAUAUUUAGCUUUAGAUGGAAUUUACCACCCGUUUUGAGCUGCAUUCCCAAACAACUCGACUCUUAGAAAGUGUAUCACAUAGCACCGGGGAUCUUCGUCAAGUACGGGAUUCUCACCCUCUAUGACGCCCUGUUCCAAGGGACUUGUACAAAGUCCGGCGCGGAAAACACUUCUCUAGACUACAAUUCGGACGACCUUAGGCCGCCAGAUUUUAAAUUUGAGCUCUUCCCGCUUCACUCGCCGUUACUAGGGGAAUCCUUGUUAGUUUCUUUUCCUCCGCUUAUUGAUAUGCUUAAGUUCAGCGGGUAGUCCUACCUGAUUUGAGG